AGAGUGAACGCUGGCGGCAGGCCUAACACAUGCAAGUCGAACGGCAGCACAGAGGAGCUUGCUCCUUGGGUGGCGAGUGGCGGACGGGUGAGGAAUACGUCGGAAUCUGCCUAUUUGUGGGGGAUAACGUAGGGAACUUACGCUAAUACCGCAUACGACCUACGGGUGAAAGCGGAGGACCUUCGGGCUUCGCGCAGAUAGAUGAGCCGACGUCGGAUUAGCUAGGUUGGCGGGGUAAAGCCCACAAGGCGACGAUCCGUAGCUGGUCUGAGAGGAUGAUCAGCCACACUGGAACUGAGACACGGUCCAGACCUCCGUACGGGAGCAGCGAGGUAGGGAAUUAGUGGACAAGUGGGCGACAAGCCGUAGACU
RNAcentral lists this ribosomal RNA (372 nucleotides) under uncultured soil bacterium. Its description in RNAcentral is "bacterial SSU rRNA". It matches the Rfam family "Bacterial small subunit ribosomal RNA", at positions 26 to 390 of the family's 1533-position model. The record is from RNAcentral.